GUAACGGCGAGUGAAGCGGCAACAGCUCMAAUUUGAAAUCUGGCCUCUUCGGGGUCCGAGUUGUAAUUUGUAGAGGGUGUUUCGGGCGCGAUGCCGGUCUAAGUUCCUUGGAACAGGACGUCGUAGAGGGUGAGAAUCCCGUAUGCGACCGGCGAUCAAGCCUGUGUGAAGCCCCUUCGACGAGUCGAGUUGUUUGGGAAUGCAGCUCAAAAUGGGUGGUAAAUUUCAUCUAAAGCUAAAUAUUGGCCAGAGACCGAUAGCGGACAAGUAGAGUGAUCGAAAGAUGAAAAGCACUUUGGAAAGAGAGUCAAACAGUACGUGAAAUUGUUGAAAGGGAAGCGCUUGCAAUCAGACCGGUCCGGAGGCGAUCAGCCGCUGCUCGUCAGCGGUGCACUCGCCUGCGAUCCGGCCAGCAUCGGUUUGGGCGGUGGGAUAAAAGUUCCGGGAAUGUAGCUUCUUUCGGGGAGUCUUAUAGCCCGGGUCGCAAUGCCGCCCGCUCGGACCGAGGACCGCGCUUCGGCUAG
RNAcentral lists this ribosomal RNA (524 nucleotides) under Pseudocyphellaria multifida. RNAcentral's name for it is "partial 28S ribosomal RNA". It matches the Rfam family "Eukaryotic large subunit ribosomal RNA", at positions 83 to 609 of the family's 3401-position model. The record is from RNAcentral. Lineage: Eukaryota; Fungi; Ascomycota; Lecanoromycetes; Peltigerales; Lobariaceae.